Molecule: ribosomal RNA, 254 nt
Filed under: uncultured bacterium
Lineage: Bacteria
Description: partial 16S ribosomal RNA
Rfam family: Bacterial small subunit ribosomal RNA
Source: RNAcentral
UACGUAGGGUGCGAGCGUUGUCCGGAAUUAUUGGGCGUAAAGAGCUCGUAGGCGGUGUGUCACGUCGGCCGUGAAAACCUGCAGCUUAACUGUGGGCGUGCGGUCGAUACGGGCAUCACUGGAGUUCGGCAGGGGAGACUGGAAUUCCUGGUGUAGCGGUGAAAUGCGCAGAUAUCAGGAGGAACACCGGUGGCGAAGGCGGGUCUCUGGGCCGAUACUGACGCUGAGGAGCGAAAGCGUGGGGAGCAAACCGG